CGUGAUAGUGGGCCCAGCAGCAGCUCAAGGGCCGGGAUACAGAAUCUUCUUGGGUCCAAAUACCCUCUAGAAGUUUCCCAUUGGUCACUUCAUGCUCACCUCAUGUAAACGAAGUGGUAGCCCACAAUCUGAUUGGUUGCAGAAAGCAGCCAAUCAGAGGACGUGAAGUUACAAAGGUCACAUUCCUGUGCCAACAUCUGAUUGGAUGAAACGUUUGCUAGGGUUAUGUUACAAAGUUAUAUGAAAACGAAGACUUCACCCGCAAUCAGUCUGGUUGUGGACAGCAACCAUUCAUAGGCUGGAGUGAAGUUACAAAGUUGCAAACGAAGACUCCACUCACAACCAGUCUGAUUUGUUGGGGACAGCCAAUUUCCCAUCUGCUGUGCAGAAAACGUCAAAUGGAGUAGCAUCCGGUCCUUUUGUUACUUAGGCUGGAAAGUCAGAGUUUUCCUUUCAAUUUAGUUCUAGGAAGUUGGCGUGAAACAGCCUUAGGUUCCCUGCCUCCAGACCCUCUUCUCCUGCCUCACCAGGACCUGGUGGGCCAGUUGUGGUCGGUGAAGGAAACCUGCAGGGCAGGGGGUAUGAGGGAGCUUGAGCUGCGGCACGAGAGAGCAGCUUCAGGAGCCAGAACCCUGGCUGCUUCUGCUGCAGUGAACUGGCCCACUCUGGGCCUCAGUUUGCCCUUCUAAGAAAUGGACCUACAAUGAUCUGGGAGGGGCUGGAGCCAGCGCUCACCUGGUCGCCCAUGAUGAAUGCCUGUCAACCCUGGUUCUGGGCUAGAGGGUCUCAAAAGGCUUCAGGUGCCUGGCAGCUCCCAAACACCCUGGGCUUUGCCCUCCUCCUGUGAACAGGAGUGACUCCCGUUGGAGGUGUGUGGUGAGACUGACCAGGGUGACCUCCUGCCCCUGACCACACUGUCCCAGAGUACCAGCCGCAUCCGGGCUCACUCAGAACCCUGGUGGAUAAGGCGGCUGCAGUGCCCGCCCAUGACGGUCCUCCACCCCGUCAUUCACUGUGUCCACCAGUGCUUCCUCCCACUGGUCUUUGUCGUAGAGCCCUAGUCAGCAGCCAGGCAGUGAGCUGAGAUUCUGUCCUCUCCCCACAAAGCCCACAGGCGUCAGACCUGGGCCUCCAGGACCUCUCUGUGACCCUGGCUUUGGAGGGCCUUCUCUCCCAGCCUCUGCUACUCCCACCUCCACAAGGUGAAAAGGUCGUAGGCCCAUGCC
RNAcentral lists this long non-coding RNA (1226 nucleotides) under Macaca fascicularis (crab-eating macaque). RNAcentral's name for it is "lncRNA (ENSMFAG00000059909.1)". The record is from RNAcentral. Lineage: Eukaryota; Metazoa; Chordata; Mammalia; Primates; Cercopithecidae.